ACACUGUUUGCUUUGGCAGUGUAUAUAUAUUAAGUUGGAACUAUACAGAGAAGAUUAACAUGUCCCCUCACGAGAACCGGCAGUCUAAAUUAAUAUAUCUAAAUUUA
This 107-nucleotide small nuclear RNA is filed under the name Chinchilla lanigera (long-tailed chinchilla). Lineage: Eukaryota; Metazoa; Chordata; Mammalia; Rodentia; Chinchillidae. The record is from RNAcentral.